This is a non-coding RNA of Oryzias latipes (Japanese medaka), 2952 nucleotides long. Lineage: Eukaryota; Metazoa; Chordata; Actinopteri; Beloniformes; Adrianichthyidae. The record is from RefSeq and is a predicted model, not a curated record.
GGACAAGCGCCAGUAAACAGUAGAAAAAGAAAAAGGAGAAGCCCCUCCCUGCUUGUCCAGUGUGAACACCAUGGACUACUAGACCCAUGUUCAAGAACCUUCUUGAAAGUGCAUCAGAUGACGUGUGAACGUAGCAUUCCAGCCACUCAGGAUGAUUGUGUUUCCAGGUCUGAAAAAAACCCGACGGGGAUGUUCAAUUGUUCUCCGUUCUUCUGCUGGCUCCCAGCCAGCAGCUCCUUCACGACACAAGGAGCUGGUACUAUCGGCUUCCCUCUCCUCUUCCUGCUUGCUUUCCUGUUGGUGACUGAAACGAGUUGCUCUAAUGCAACAAUGAUGGUGAUUCCACUCUGCUUAUCCAAGCAGGCCUGCCUGAGUCGUCGUUCCUUCAAAGCUGAGGUAAAAAGUUCACAUUAUUAUUGUUUGCUCCCUUUUCCUCCAUUUCGAAGCGCUUUGUUGUCUGCAGCGUGCCGCUAACAGGCCUGCCAAAUAUAGAGCAUAUUUCACGUAUCGGUUUAACAUCACGGCAGCCGUUCCUGUCCACAAUCGCUGGCAGGUUUCUGCAGGGGGAAAGCCGUAAAGCGAAGACCACAACCUUUAACAUCAUUGUGUGCUUGACUCAUCCCCAAGGACGGGAUUGAUAAAAGAUGAUCAGUAGGAAAAUGGAUAGCACUGAUUAAAUAAACAUCCUGGAAAUGAUCUCUGUGACCUGCGGGGAGCGCGGCAGUCACUCGCUCUUCGCCUGGGUUAAAGAAUCAAGUGAGAUGAUUCAUUUGACUGGCGCAGGUAGUUGAGUUUGAUGGAUCAUUCCUAAAAGCAUCAUGGCUAAUCUUCAGCUCCUCUUUUUUAGGUUAUUCACAGAUCAGUGAGUUUUCCGGCUAAUCGUGGACCUGACGCUGCUCCUGUCUGUGUACAUGGUAUUCAUCAUACUCUGACAAGGAGAGUCCUUCAGACGACAAAUAACCUUCAGAGAGAGGAGGCAGGCGAGCGGGAUGUGUGCGGUUAUUUUGGAUACAUUUCACAGUGGAGUAGGAAAGCUGCAUGGGGAGAUGUAUGGUGUCCUUGUUGGCUGCAAAGAGAUGGACCCCUCUCUGUUUCCUAGCAUAAUCAUUCUGAGCCUCAGCCAUGCCUUCGACAACUCAAUCAGACAGCCCUCUACCUGUAAAGUGGCUGGGUUGAUUUGAUUGCCAUUUUUAUUGGAUCCCGGUCACAUAAAUCAAACCAAUGGGGACGUCUGUACAGACGUGACCACUCGUCAUUCGCUAGUAGCCUUGGAAACAUUGUUUCGGGGGCCGCGCGGCUGUCAUUGAAGGUAAAUCAGGGGUCUAAAGUUUCUUUCCUCCAACACAGGAGCAUGAAGUUAAAUCAUCUUGAAAAUUGAUGCCACUGCUCCCAAGUGUUUUCACCUAUCCUUUAGAUAGAGUCCCAUCAACUGUUGACAAUGUCAGCACUUUCACCCUCUUCUGGAAGAUGCUUCCUGUGCUCGGGCCUCCCUUGUUGCUUUCUGAAGAUUCCGCUGAAGCAGUGGUCCCCGACCACCGGGACAGUUGGAACCGGGCCGCAAAAAACAAAACAAAACAUUUUUUUGUUGUAUUUAUAAUAUGAUCUUGAAGGAAGUUUUAUUUUGAAAAACUACUGUGUUCUCUCCGCCAAAUCUAACAUGAGUUAGAUGACCCGUGUCAAGCUGAGUGACCCGACGCAUGUCACAUGUCAAAAAUACAUCCAUUGUUUCCUUAAAGAAGCUUCGCAGAACGCUAAAUUAAAAUCCUCAAGAUAGUAAAUUUAACAAAAAACAAACGUACCGUAUUUGGAACUUUUUUUUUUUUGCAGAAAAGAGCCAGUGAGGAAACAACCUUUGACUUCAAAAUAAAAGAAAUCUGCAUUUCACAGACAAAAACCAGGAGUGUUUUCUUCAAGUAUGAAUUUAUUGUGGCAAUUGUUCGCACAGACCAAAAUAAUCAUGCAUACUAUUCAGCAAGCAGCUUUCUAAUGCUGCUAAUAAAGUUGUCCAAGCAGUGAAAUUGCUUGAAAGUUGGCAUCCGAUUUUUUGGCUCCCACUUUGACAGUUAUGGGUUAAAGGAAAAUUUAUAUCACAUUUAAAUGGUUCCUUCAUGAAAUCUAGUGUACAAAUAAAGUUGAAAGCAGCUGCAGACAUUUAAAAAAAGGAUAAAGAUAAACUUUACCCUGAAACGUUUAGGGAAACAGGAGGCUAAAAAGCAGCGGGCUUUACUAACUUCUGCCCUAGGUGAGAUCAGAAUACAGAGUUUACUUUCAGGUAAAGUAGGACACCAUUUUGUCUUUGAAAGUUAAUGCAUUGUUCAGCCGUGUCUGGUGAGCCUUUUGAUUCAGUAUGAAGUGAUUAAGUCUAUCAUGUCCACCAGCGCUUACAGUGGGAACAUAUUAGAUUAAAUACAGGUAGCUAAUUUCCUCCUCUGCAUGGGUGAGUGGGAGUAUGAAUGAAAGUGAUGCAAAAUUAAUUUAGACCUCUAAAAUUUUGAUCACGCCGAGGCUAUUUUGGCUCUCAUGAUGACAAGUAAUAGGGGGGUUGUUGCUUCCUAACCUCCCAAUAUUAACCACGCUUGCCUAUAGGGCUUUCAGGAUCAAUUUCAUUCAGCAUAAAUAUCACUUGAUCUGUAAAACAAAUUAGAAACAAUAAAAGCCAUAAAAAUGCAGCCGAGCUCUAUUGAGAUGUCCCUUCUAGCCAUGUGUCAAGACUGAAGACAUUAAUGAUACAUGGAGGAGCGAAAAUUACCAUCUAGGAUACGUCCGAACCAGUAAACUGGUAAACAAGCCGGCCGUUAGGAGUGGGGAUGAUUUGAAUCAACAAGGGUGAACAGAUAUGGAUACUCCACGCAUUAGUGUUAAUAGGAAUAGAUUAUGGAGGGAUUUCGUGGAGUGACCUUCAGUGCACUAAUUGAAAUAGUAUUCCGAGUCAGCAGUGGAGUAAUCAACUUA